Long non-coding RNA from Cydia amplana, 811 nucleotides. RefSeq lists it as uncharacterized. The transcript has 4 exons. The record is from RefSeq and is a predicted model, not a curated record. NCBI's taxonomy places the organism in Eukaryota, Metazoa, Arthropoda, Insecta, Lepidoptera, Tortricidae.
CACUUUGGAAGUGUCUCUCGCGCAAACUAUUCAGUUUAGAAAAAAAUGAUAUUAGAAACCACUAUCAUUUUUGAAGAUCUAUCCAUGGAUACCCCACACGUAUCGGUUUGAUGAAAAAAAUUUUUUUUUGAGGGAUUUAUGACGUAUUAAAAAAAAACUACUUACUAGAUCUCGUUCAAACCAAUUUUCGGUGGAAGUUUGCAUGGUAAUGUACAUCAUAUAUUUUUUUUAGUUUUAUCAUUCUCAUAUUUUAGAAGUUACAGGGGGGGGGACACACACAUUUUACCACUUUGGAAGUGUCUCUCGCGCAAAAUAUUCAGUUUAGAAAAAAAAUGAUAUUUGAAACCUCAAUAUCAUUUUUGAAGACCUAUCCAUAGAUACCCCACACGUAUGGGUUUGAUGAAAAAAAAAAUUUUUGAGCGAUUUAUGACGUAUUAAAAAAAAACUACUUACUAGAUCUCGUUCAAACCAAUUUUCGGUGGUAGUUUACAUGGUAAUGUACAUCAUAUAUUUUUUUUAGUUUUAUCAUUCUGUUAUUUUAGAAGUUACAGGGGGGGGGGGACACACAUUUUACCACUUUGGAAGUGUCUCUCGCGCAAACUAUUCAGUUUAGAAAAAAAUGAUAUUAGAAACCUCAAUAUCAUUUUAAAAGACCUAUCCAUAGAUACCCCACACGUAUGGGUCUGAUGAAAAAAAAAAUUUUGAAGGAUUUAUGACGUAUUAAAAAAAAACUACUUACUAGAUCUCGUUCAAACUAAUUUUCGGUGGAAGUUUGCAUGGUAAUGUAUAUCAUAUGUUUUUUUUUAGUUUU